UACUAGAAUAUUAAAAGUUAUGGCCUUUAAAUUUAAAAAAUUUGGCGGUGUUUUAGUCUAGUUAGAGGAACCUGUUUUAUAAACGAUACAACACGCAUUAUUUUACUUAUUUUAGUGGAGCAGUUUGUAUACCGUCAUUAUAAGAUAAUUUAGGAGAAAAUAUUAUUGGAAUCAUAUUUGUGAAUAUAUUAGAUCAAGGUGCAGCUUAUAGAUAAGUAAAUAUGGGUUACAAUAAAAUUAAUUUAAUAUGAAUUAAGUAUUUCAAUAUAUUUAUGAAGGAGGAUUUAAUUGUAAGGGAAGGAGUAGUGAGAUUUUCUGAUAAAAGCUCUAAAUUAUGUACAUAUCGCCCGCCGCUC
This 356-nucleotide ribosomal RNA is filed under the name Cambarellus patzcuarensis. Its description in RNAcentral is "partial 12S ribosomal RNA". Lineage: Eukaryota; Metazoa; Arthropoda; Malacostraca; Decapoda; Cambaridae. The record is from RNAcentral.